UUUAAAUGUAAAUUUUUAAACUAAAUUAUUAAUAGUUAUGUUCUUUAAAGUUAAAGAAUUUGGCGGUAUUUUAGUCUAUUUAGAGGAACCUGUUCUGUAAUCGAUGGUCCACGAUUAAUUCUACUUAAUUUAAUAGUUUAUAUAUCGUCGUAGUUUGAAUAUUUUAAUAGAAUUUAAAUGUUCAAGAUUCUUUAUUAAGAAGGAAAUCAGAUCAAGGUGUAGCUUAUAGUUAAGAAGAAAUGGGUUACAAUAAAUUUAUUUAUAUGGAUUAGAUAUUUGAAAAAUACUAAACAAAGUGGAUUUAAAAGUAAUAAAGUUAAAUUAAAUUUUAUGAUUUUAGCUCUAGAAUAUGU
Molecule: ribosomal RNA, 353 nt
Filed under: Cafius fucicola
Lineage: Eukaryota; Metazoa; Arthropoda; Insecta; Coleoptera; Staphylinidae
Description: partial 12S ribosomal RNA
Source: RNAcentral